Long non-coding RNA from Lates calcarifer (barramundi perch), 731 nucleotides. RefSeq lists it as uncharacterized. The transcript is spliced from 2 exons. The record is from RefSeq and is a predicted model, not a curated record. Lineage: Eukaryota; Metazoa; Chordata; Actinopteri; Centropomidae.
AAACCUACAACCACAAACCUGCCGACCCCAAGUCCUGGCCCUACCACAGAUCCACCUCCUACUGUGACUCCAACCCCUGCCUCAGCCUUACCCCUGCCAAGACCACUCCCUCUACCACAGACUCCUCCCUCCUCAGGUUCAGUCUCCUCCACCUGUGGUGUUGUGUCCGUACUUCAUCUCCACUGUCCUCAUGGUGUCUUUAUAUCGACACAGACCCACAGGAAAUCACCUGCCCGUCUCCAUGGUGAUGACCCCGCCCACCCAGGCUGAGCAGGAUUGGAUGAUGAUGAUGAUGAUGUCACCACAGAGCAUCACUUCUGACCUGAUCCAGUGUCUUCAGUGUUUUUCUUUCUUAAUCAAAGCUAAAGUAUUUGAGUCGUCAGCGAAGAGGAAUCAGAUUUCAGUCGUUGAUCAGUCAGAAACAGUCGAGGACCCAGAUCACUUCCCUGUGGAACUCCACAUGUUCUAGUUUGACUUGUAGAUGAAAGAUCUUGAACUCAGGACGUUGGACUCGAGCAGCAGCAACAGUCUGACUUUAAACUCUUGUAAUCUUCUGAUGGAAGCAGCUGUGUGAGAGCAGCUCAUGAUACAGAACCCAGAACAAAUGUAUUGUACAAAGCAACAUGUCUUUCUUUGUGUUGUUGUUGAUGUUUGUGUAGAUUUCAUUUGCUGCAGAGGAAUCUCAGAGGCUUUAAAACUCAGAUCAAAUAAAACUAAAGGUGAGGAUCUUC